Molecule: ribosomal RNA, 883 nt
Filed under: Lichenomima sp. KPJ-2003
Lineage: Eukaryota; Metazoa; Arthropoda; Insecta; Psocodea; Myopsocidae
Description: SSU rRNA
Rfam family: Eukaryotic small subunit ribosomal RNA
Source: RNAcentral
GUAGUGACGAAAAAUAACGAUGCAGAACUCAAUCCGAGGCUCUGCAAUCGGAAUGAGUACACUCUAAAUCAUUUAACGAGUAUCCAUUGGAGGACAAGUCUGGUGCCAGCACCCGCGGUAAUUCCAGCUCCAAAAGCGUAUAUUAAAGUUGUUGCGGUUAAAAAGCUCGUAGUUGAACUUGUGUUUAAAGCUGUCGGUUCAUUGUUUUGUCGAUGUUUAACUGACAUGCCUUUAAACGUCCUGCCGGUUGGUGACGUGUUUUCACCCUUACGGGUGGGGUGCGUCUGCCAGUUCCAAUCCUGUCGCGGUGCUCUUCACCGAGUGUCGAGGCGGGCCGGCACGUUUUACCUUGAACAAAUUUGAGUGCUUAAAGCAGGCUGUAAUGCCGGAAAACUGUGUGCAUGGAAUAAUAUAAUAGGACCGCGGUUCUAUUUUGUUGGUUUUCAGAGUCCGAGGUAAUGAUUAAUAGGGACUGGCGGGGGCAUUAGUAUUGCGACGUUAGAGGUGAAAUUCUUGGAUCGUCGCAAGACUAACCUAAGCGAAAGCAUUUGCCAAGGAUGCUUCCAUUAAUCAAGAACGAAAGUUAGAGGUUCGAAGGCGAUCAGAUACCGCCCUAGUUCUAACCAUAAACGAUGCCAGCCAGCGAUCCGUCGACGUUCUUUUAUGACUCGACGGGCAGCUUCCGGGAAACUAAAGCAUUUGGGUUCCGGGGGAAGUAUGGUUGCAAAGCUGAAACUUAAAGGAAUUGACGGAAAGGCACCACCAGGAGUGGAGCCUGCGGCUUAAUUUGACUCAACACGGGAAAUCUCACCAGGCCAGAACACCAGGUGGAUUGACAGAUUGAGAGCUCUUUCUUGAUUUGGUGGGUGGUGGUGCAUGGCCG